UGAGUAAUACAUCGGAACGUGUCUUCUAGUGGGGGAUAACUGCCCGAAAGGGCAGCUAAUACCGCAUGAGACCUGAGGGUGAAAGCGGGGGAUCGCAAGACCUCGCGCUGGAAGAGCGGCCGAUGUCCGAUUAGCUAGUUGGUGAGGUAAAGGCUCACCAAGGCGACGAUCGGUAGCUGGUCUGAGAGGACGACCAGCCACACUGGACUGAGACACGGCCCAG
This 223-nucleotide ribosomal RNA is filed under the name uncultured bacterium. RNAcentral describes it as "partial 16S ribosomal RNA". It matches the Rfam family "Bacterial small subunit ribosomal RNA", at positions 107 to 334 of the family's 1533-position model. The record is from RNAcentral.